CAACUCACUGCUCUUUAGGGUUGUCACGGUACUCGGUACUUCGGUACCAAGUCGGUACCAGCACUGCUGUCGUACUGUCGGUACUUGUAUUUUCAUGGUACCGGUAGUACCGAUGGUACCGAAGGAAACGGACGUAAGAGAUGUUUACAUCCGCCCGCUGCUAGCUAAACAGUUGGGUGGAGAUGGCUACAUCGAGUGCAGCGGGAGCGGCUGCUCCGCCUCAGCUCGUUGAAAAAAAGGGAACCAGGAGCCACAUAUGGAAGUACUUUGGCUUCAGGCCAAACGACAAAGGGGACAUAAUAAAUCCCCAAAACCCAAUUUGCCGAAGAUGUGGAAAGGGAUUCAAUACGAAAGGAGGAAACACGUCCAAUCUAGCAAAGCACCUUAAAGACAGGCACCCGGAUCUAUACAAAGAAUUCAAGGUGAGCAGAACUUUACGAAGUUUUUGCUAGCGGACCACAACGGAGCCUUACCGAGGCACAUUUUAAUUUGACAUUUCUGUUAAAUACUUGAGGGCAUGCCAUUAUAGAAAUAUUUUUUUAAUUAUUAUUCUUAUUUCUUUUUUAUUUAUUUGUUUGUUCUUUAGUAAAAAAAACACAAUCUUUGUGUAAAUACUUGAAGGGAAAACACCAAGGUAUAUAUUUUAUUAUUAUUUAUCUGUUCAAGUUUCUACAAUGUAAACAGAUUAAUAUUUUAAUAAAGAUGCUGGAUAUCUUGAAUAAAUUAGUCUUUUUAUUUUUUUGCCGUGGUAUCGAAUUAGGUAUCGAGUAUUGUGUAACUUCACUGGUA
Molecule: long non-coding RNA, 789 nt
Organism: Melanotaenia boesemani (Boeseman's rainbowfish)
Lineage: Eukaryota; Metazoa; Chordata; Actinopteri; Atheriniformes; Melanotaeniidae
Exons: 3
Source: RefSeq, a predicted model, not a curated record